GACGAACGCUGGCGGCGUGCUUAACACAUGCAAGUCGAACGAGUGGCGAACGGGUGAGUAAUACGCGGGUAACCUGCCCUUUUUUUGGGAUAAGACUUGGAAACGGGGUCUAUUACCCAAUAAAGGGGGAUGGGCUCGCGGCCUAUCAGGUUGUUGGUGGGGUGAUGGCCUACCAAGGCGGUGACGGGUCGCCGGACUGAGAGGGAGACCGGCACGAGUGGGAGUGAGAUACGGCCCAGAGUGCAGCAGGCGGGAGCAGUGGGGGAUAGUGCACAGUGGGCGGAAGCCCGAUGCAGCUACGCCGCGUGGGGGUUGAAGUCUUUCGGGUUGUAAACCUCGUUCGCUAGCGAACGGGUAGGUGGAUAAGAAGCGCCGGCUAACUACGUGCCAGCAGCCGCGGUAAUUC
RNAcentral lists this ribosomal RNA (406 nucleotides) under uncultured bacterium. RNAcentral describes it as "partial 16S ribosomal RNA". It matches the Rfam family "Bacterial small subunit ribosomal RNA", at positions 28 to 526 of the family's 1533-position model. The record is from RNAcentral.